GGGGUUGUAGGACACUCUAUACGGAGUUACAAAGGACGACAUUAGACGAAUCAUCUGGAAAGAUGAAUCAAAGAAGGUAAUAAUCCUGUAGUCGAAAAUGUUGUCUCUCUUGAGUGGAUCCUGAGUACGACGGAGCACGUGAAAUUCCGUCGGAAUCUGGGAGGACCAUCUCCUAAGGCUAAAUACUCUCUAGUGACCGAUAGUGAACCAGUACCGUGAGGGAAAGGUGAAAAGCACCCCGGAAGGGGAGUGAAAUAGAACCUGAAACCGUGUGCUUACAAGUAGUCAGAGCCCGUUAAUGGGUGAUGGCGUGCCUUUUGUAGAAUGAACCGGCGAGUUACGAUUUGAUGCAAGGUUAAGCAGUAAAUGUGGAGCCGUAGCGAAAGCGAGUCUGAAUAGGGCGUUUAGUA
RNAcentral lists this ribosomal RNA (410 nucleotides) under Staphylococcus aureus. Its description in RNAcentral is "partial 23S ribosomal RNA". It matches the Rfam family "Bacterial large subunit ribosomal RNA", at positions 294 to 701 of the family's 2925-position model. The record is from RNAcentral. Lineage: Bacteria; Bacillati; Bacillota; Bacilli; Caryophanales; Staphylococcaceae.